Molecule: ribosomal RNA, 473 nt
Filed under: uncultured Desulfobulbus sp.
Lineage: Bacteria; Pseudomonadati; Thermodesulfobacteriota; Desulfobulbia; Desulfobulbales; Desulfobulbaceae
Description: bacterial SSU rRNA
Rfam family: Bacterial small subunit ribosomal RNA
Source: RNAcentral
GACGGGGCCCGCACAAGCGGUGGAGUAUGUGGUUUAAUCGAUGCAACGCGAAGAACCUUACCUGGUCUUGACAUCCCGGAGACCCUUAGGAAACUAGGGGUGCUUCCAUCUGGAAGAAUCUGGAGACAGGUGCUGCAUGGCUGUCGUCAGCUCGUGUCGUGAGAUGUUGGGUUAAGUCCCGCAACGAGCGCAACCCUUGCCUUUAGUUGCCAGCAGUUCGGCUGGGCACUCUAAAGGGACUGCCGGUGUUAAACCGGAGGAAGGUGGGGAUGACGUCAAGUCCUCAUGGCCUUUAUGACCAGGGCUACACACGUACUACAAUGGCCGAUACAAAGGGCAGCGACACUGCGAGGUGAAGCCAAUCCCGUAAAAUCGGUCUCAGUCCGGAUUGGAGUCUGCAACUCGACUCCAUGAAGUUGGAAUCGCUAGUAAUCGUGGAUCAGCAUGCCACGGUGAAUACGUUCCCGGGCCUU